This 222-nucleotide unclassified non-coding RNA is filed under the name Ascomycota sp. RNAcentral describes it as "partial contains small subunit ribosomal RNA, internal transcribed spacer 1, and 5.8S ribosomal RNA". The stretch from base 1 to 47 matches the Rfam family "Eukaryotic small subunit ribosomal RNA", at positions 1785 to 1831 of the family's 1831-position model. Lineage: Eukaryota; Fungi; Ascomycota. The record is from RNAcentral.
AAAGUCGUAACAAGGUUUCCGUAGGUGAACCUGCGGAAGGAUCAUUAUAGUAGUAGGGACUUCGGUCCCUCCGUAAUGGAACCCUUGCCUUUUUUUAGCGUCUCUCCGUUUCCUCGGCAGCUCCGCCUGCCAGCGAGGACCCCCAAAAAACCUUUGCAAUCCAGUAAAAUAUUCAGAAUUACACAAACGUUAAAACUUUCAACAAUGGAUCUCUUGGCUCUG